Molecule: long non-coding RNA, 1706 nt
Filed under: Equus asinus (donkey)
Lineage: Eukaryota; Metazoa; Chordata; Mammalia; Perissodactyla; Equidae
Description: lncRNA (ENSEASG00005031975.1)
Source: RNAcentral
GUCAGUCACCGUGGAGCUGGGUGUGGAUGCGGCAGCGCCGGGAGGUCCUGGGGCUCCAGCCUCAGAGGGACGUUGUGCUCGGGUCUGGAGACUGACCUUGGCCACACUGCAGGCUGCUCUCGCACGAAUGUCGGCUGCACCCCGCGACACCCACGCUCUCGUGCAGCCGCGAGGGUGCCUCUGUGAAGGGGCUGCCACCUUUAGGAGCCAGUGCGAAGCCGAUGACCUGGAUGCUGGAGGUCGCCGGGUUAAGCGGCUGAGAAAGCACAGCCGGGGGCCGUGCCAGAGGGGGAAGGAGCCAAGCAGCACCUGCGGGGGCCCCCCGCCCACAAGGCGCACCCCUGCAUGCUCUUCUCUUCGCCUCGCACUGUGUUGUCCUCACAGCACCUGUGUUCACGUUCUGGUUUUCUUUUUGUCUGUUAUCUGAGGCCAGAGACCCUGGUCCACACUCUCCCUCGGACAGGGCUUCAUGCCCAUCCGCCUCCGCGAGGCUCCAGCGUCCUCAGCUCAGUGUGGUCAGAGUGACCUUGGCUCUCUCCUCUUGGCUCUGGACUGACCUCCACUGUGACCUAGAGCCCGAGUGGCCCCGGAGAAGAACCUGGCCUGAACACAGUGGCACUGAAACGCCAUCAAGAAACCAAAAGAGGGGGCCCCGCCCCGUGGCACAGUGAUUAAGUUGGUGCACUCCACUUCGGCAGCCCGGGGUUCACUCACCUGGAUCUUGGGUGUGGACCUACGUAUCACUUAUGCUGUGGCAGGCGUCCCACAUAUAAAGUAGAGGAAGAUGGGCACAGAUGUUAGCCCAGGGCCAAUCUUCCUCAGCAAAAGGAGGAGUAUUGGCAGCAGAUGUUAGCUCAGGGCUAAUCUUCCUCAAAAAAAAAGAAAAAGAAAAAAAAAAAGAAACUGAAAGAGGGGUGACUUUCUUUGGGUGUCCAGACAGCGUGGCAGGGAGAGACCCAGGGCAGUGUGGCCCCACAAGGUAGCUCGGCCCCUGGCUUCGUAACAGUGCAGGCUCAGGGGUGGGGUGUCUCUAACCGGGAAGAUCGGGGCAGUUAAAACAACUGUUUAGGAUUAUUUCACCCUUCCACGUUGCUCUGUGUAAUGCAGACAGAGCGCCUGCAAGGCAAGGGGAGGUUGUGUGAGUGCACACAUGUGUGCGUGCACAGGGGUGCGGUGUGUAGGAGCUGGGAGAAGGGACAGGAGUCACCUUGGGGUCAAGCGCAGUGGACGGUGGGUAGCUCAGCUGGGACUCUUUUAGGAUUAGGGAACUGAAGCCCAUUCAGAUGGACUUAAGCAGGUGGCGGAGGUGCGUGUGUCAGCGCUAUGGGCUGAACUGUGUGCCUGCAAGAUUCACAUGUUGCAGUCCUGACCCCAGUACCUUAGAACGUGACUGUUUGGAGACAGAGUCUUUAAAGAGGUGAGUAAGGUAACAGGAGGCCAUUAGGGUGGCCCUGAUCCAGUAUGACUGGAGUCCUUAUGAGAAGAGGAGAUGAGGACACAGACACGCACAGAGGGAAGACCAUGUGAGGACACGGGGAGGAGACAGCCGUCCACAGGCCAAGGAGAGAGGUCCAGAGGAAACCAGCCCUGCACACACCCCGAUCUCGGACCUGCAGCCUCUGGACCUGUCAUGAGCCUCUGGAGGGUCGGCUUGUAAUGGAAUUCCCUCUGGCUGCCGUGGGCGGGCUGUCUGGAAGAGCUUCCUG